RNAcentral lists this ribosomal RNA (406 nucleotides) under uncultured bacterium. RNAcentral describes it as "partial 16S ribosomal RNA". It matches the Rfam family "Bacterial small subunit ribosomal RNA", at positions 28 to 526 of the family's 1533-position model. The record is from RNAcentral.
GAUGAACGCUAGCUACAGGCUUAACACAUGCAAGUCGAGCGCCCGGCGCACGUGUGAGGAACACGUAACCAACCUGCCCUUUGCGCGGUGAUAGCCUUACGAAAUACAGAUUAAUACACGAAAUAAUGGAGAGGGAUGCGUUGCAUUAGGUUGUUGGUGAGGUAACGGCCCACCAAGCCUUCGAUGGCUAGUGGUUCUGAGAUGAAGGUCCCCGACAUUGGAACUGAGGCCCGGUCCAAACUCGUACGGGAGGCAGGAGUGAGGAAUAUUGGUCAGUGGGCGUUAGCCUGAAACAGCCAAGUAGCGUGAAGGAUGAAGGGUUAUGGGUCGUAAACUUCUUAUAUAUAAGAAUCUGUAUUAUAUGAAUAAGGAUCGGCUAACUCCGUGCCAGCAGCCGCGGUAAUUC